GACGAACGCUGGCGGCGUGCUUAACACAUGCAAGUCGAACGGAAAGGCCCUGCUUUUGUGGGGUGCUCGAUUGGCGAACGGGUGAGUAACACGUGAGUAACCUGCCCUUGACUUUGGGAUAACUUCAGGAAACUGGGGCUCAUACCGGAUAGGAGCUCCUGCUGCAUGGUGGGGGUUGGAAAGUUUCGGCUGUUGGGGAUGGACUCGCGGCUUAUCAGCUUGUUGGUGGGGUAGUGGCUUACCAAGGCUUUGACGGGUAGCCGGCCUGAGAGGGUGACCGGCCACAUUGGGACUGAGAUACGGCCCAGACUCCUACGGGAGGCAGCAGUGGGGAAUAUUGCACAAUGGGCCGAAGCCUGAUGCAGCAACGCCGCGUGCGGGAUGACGGCCUUCGGGUUGUAAACCGCUUUCGCCUGUGACGAAGCGUGAGUGACGGUAAUGGGUAAAGAAGCACCGGCUAACUACGUG
This 468-nucleotide ribosomal RNA is filed under the name uncultured bacterium. Its description in RNAcentral is "partial 16S ribosomal RNA". It matches the Rfam family "Bacterial small subunit ribosomal RNA", at positions 28 to 507 of the family's 1533-position model. The record is from RNAcentral.